AAAACAAAGGAGAAAAGAAAGUCAAUCAACCCAAACUUCUAUUGAAUUUUCCAAGGGCAAGGCCAAAACCAACAAUAGAAAGCAUACAACAAAUGCAAAUUCAAACGAUUUAUUUCAAACAGGCUCAAAGAAUAAUAAGUCUGGCAAACUUGUUUUCAUCGCCGGGGACUCAAUUCUACAACAUGUUCACGGCUGGGACUUGUCUAACGAUAAACAACGUGUAUCUGUAAAGUCCUUUUCAGGGAGUAAAGCUGAAGAUAUGCAAGAUUACAUAAAACCAUUACUACGCAAAAAGCCCGACGAGAUAAUAUUGCAUGUAGGCACUAACAAUAUUAAAGAUAACUCCAAGACGACAGAAGUAGUUGCUGCGGGUAUCUUAAACCUCGGAACCCAAAUAAAGGAUAGUCUACCAUGCACUAACGUAUGUAUAUCGGGCAUUAUUACCAGGAAAGAUAAAGCUAAUAUCCAGAACAAAAUUAAAACUGUAAAUGACAUUCUUAAACGGGUCUCUAACCAAAACAAAUGGACCUAUAUAGACAACACUAAUUUAGAUUAUACUUGCCUAAAUAGAGGUGGCCUACAUUUAAAUAGAAAGGGUAGUAGCACUCUUACUAGAAAUUAUAGUAAUCACUUUAGUCGUAAUUGAAAUAAGGCAUGGCCAGGUGCUGUAAGGUAUGCUCAAUUUAACC
Paramuricea clavata is the source of this 689-nucleotide non-coding RNA. Lineage: Eukaryota; Metazoa; Cnidaria; Anthozoa; Malacalcyonacea; Plexauridae. The record is from the annotation of a GenBank genome assembly.